GACGAACGCUGGCGGCGUGCUUAACACAUGCAAGUCGAACGGAAAGGCCCUGCUUUUGUGGGGUGCUCGAGUGGCGAACGGGUGAGUAACACGUGAGUAACCUGCCCUUGACUUUGGGAUAACUUCAGGAAACUGGGGCUAAUACCGGAUAGGAGCUCCUGCUGCAUGGUGGGGGUUGGAAAGUUUCGGCGGUUGGGGCUGGACUCGCGGCUUAUCAGCUUGUUGGUGGGGUAGUGGCUUACCAAGGCUUUGACGGGUAGCCGGCCUGAGAGGGUGGCCGGCGACAUGGGGACUGAGAUACGGAGCAGACGCCUACGGGGGACAACAGUCGGAAGUAUUGCCCAGUGGGCGGGAGCCUGAGGCGGCAACGCCGCGUGCGUGAUGACGGCCUGCGGGUUGUAAACCGCUUUCGCCUGUGACGAAGCGGGAGUGACGGUAAUGGGUGAAGAAGCACCGGCUAACUACGUG
Molecule: ribosomal RNA, 468 nt
Filed under: uncultured bacterium
Lineage: Bacteria
Description: partial 16S ribosomal RNA
Rfam family: Bacterial small subunit ribosomal RNA
Source: RNAcentral